This 253-nucleotide ribosomal RNA is filed under the name uncultured bacterium. Its description in RNAcentral is "partial 16S ribosomal RNA". It matches the Rfam family "Bacterial small subunit ribosomal RNA", at positions 524 to 776 of the family's 1533-position model. The record is from RNAcentral.
UACGUAGGUGGCAAGCGUUGUCCGGAAUUAUUGGGCGUAAAGAGCGUGUAGGCGGUUCGGUAAGUCUGCCGUGAAAUCCUGGGGCUCAACCCCGGGCGUGCGGUGGAUACUGCCGGGCUAGAGGGUGGUAGAGGAGACUGGAAUUCAUGGUGUAGCAGUGAAAUGCGUAGAGAUCAUGAGGAAGACCAGUGGCGAAGGCGGGUCUCUGGACAGUUCCUGACACUGAGGCACGAAGGCCAGGGGAGCAAACGGG